This 483-nucleotide ribosomal RNA is filed under the name uncultured bacterium. RNAcentral describes it as "partial 16S ribosomal RNA". It matches the Rfam family "Bacterial small subunit ribosomal RNA", at positions 28 to 507 of the family's 1533-position model. The record is from RNAcentral.
GACGAACGCUGGCGGCGUGCUUAACACAUGCAAGUCGAACGCUGAAGCUCAGCUUUUGUUGGGUGGAUGAGUGGCGAACGGGUGAGUAACACGUGAGUAACCUGCCUCCUUCUUUGGGAUAACGCCCGGAAACGGGUGCUAAUACUGGAUAUUCACUGGUCUUCGCAUGGGGGUUGGUGGAAAGGGUUUUUCUGGUGGGGGAUGGGCUCGCGGCCUAUCAGCUUGUUGGUGGGGUGAUGGCCUACCAAGGCUUUGACGGGUAGCCGGCCUGAGAGGGUGACCGGUCACAUUGGGACUGAGAUACGGCCCAGACUCCUACGGGAGGCAGCAGUGGGGAAUAUUGCACAAUGGGCGCAAGCCUGAUGCAGCGACGCCGCGUGAGGGAUGGAGGCCUUCGGGUUGUGAACCUCUUUCGCCCAUGGUCAAGCCGCAACAAUGGUUGUGGUGAGGGUAGUGGGUAAAGAAGCGCCGGCUAACUACGUG